AUUGAACGCUGGCGGCAGGCCUAACACAUGCAAGUCGAACGGUAACAGGAAGAAGCUUGCUUCUUUGCUGACGAGUGGCGGACGGGUGAGUAAUGUCUGGGAAACUGCCUGAUGGAGGGGGAUAACUACUGGAAACGGUAGCUAGUACCGCAUAACGUCGCAAGACCAAAGAGGGGGACCUUCGGGCCUCUUGCCAUCGGAUGUGCCCAGAUGGGAUUAGCUAGUAGGUGGGGUAACGGCUCACCUAGGCGACGAUCCCUAGCUGGUCUGAGAGGAUGACCAGCCACACUGGAACUGAGACACGGUCCAGACUCCUACGGGAGGCAGCAGUGGGGAAUAUUGCACAGUGGGCGCAAGCCUGAUGCAGCCAUGCCGCGUGUAUGAAGAAGGCCUUCGGGUUGUAAAGUACUUUCAGCGGGGAGGAAGGGAGUAAAGUUAAUACCUUUGCUCAUUGACGUUACCCGCAGAAGAAGCACCGGCUAACUCCGU
This 489-nucleotide ribosomal RNA is filed under the name uncultured bacterium. RNAcentral's name for it is "partial 16S ribosomal RNA". It matches the Rfam family "Bacterial small subunit ribosomal RNA", at positions 30 to 506 of the family's 1533-position model. The record is from RNAcentral.